Molecule: ribosomal RNA, 439 nt
Filed under: uncultured bacterium
Lineage: Bacteria
Description: bacterial SSU rRNA
Rfam family: Bacterial small subunit ribosomal RNA
Source: RNAcentral
ACGCGUGGAACCUUACCAGGUCUUGACAUCCUUCGCUACUUCUAGAGAUAGAAGGUUCCCCUUCGGGGGACGAAGUGACAGGUGGUGCAUGGUUGUCGUCAGCUCGUGUCGUGAGAUGUUGGGUUAAGUCCCGCAACGAGCGCAACCCUUGAUCUUAGUUGCCAGCAUUAAGUUGGGCACUCUAAGGUGACUGCCGGUGACAAACCGGAGGAAGGUGGGGAUGACGUCAAAUCAUCAUGCCCCUUAUGACCUGGGCUACACACGUGCUACAAUGGAUGGUACAAAGGGCAGCAAAACCGCGAGGUCGAGCAAAUCCCAUAAAACCAUUCUCAGUUCGGAUUGUAGGCUGCAACUCGCCUACAUGAAGCUGGAAUCGCUAGUAAUCGCGGAUCAGCAUGCCGCGGUGAAUACGUUCCCGGGCCUUGCACACACCGCCCGU